GACGAACGCUGGCGGCGUGCCUAAUACAUGCAAGUCGAACGCAUUUUCUUUCACCGUAGCUUGCUACACCGAAAGAAAAUGAGUGGCGAACGGGUGAGUAACACGUGGGUAACCUGCCCAUCAGCGGGGGAUAACACUUGGAAACAGGUGCUAAUACCGCAUAAUUCCAUUUACUGCAUGGUAGAUGGAUGAAAGGCGCUUUUGCGUCACUGAUGGAUGGACCCGCGGUGCAUUAGCUAGGUGGUGGGGUAACGGCCUACCAAGGCUGCGAUGCAUAGCCGACCUGAGAGGGUGAUCGGCCACACUGGGACUGAGACACGGCCCAGACUCCUACGGGAGGCAGCAGUAGGGAAUCUUCGGCAAUGGACGCAAGUCUGACCGAGCAACGCCGCGUGAGUGAAGAAGGUUUUCGGAUCGUAAAACUCUGUUGUUAGAAAAGAACAAGGAUGAGAGUGGAAAGUUCAUCCCUUGACGGUAUCUAACCAGAAAGCCACGGCUAACUACGUG
This 507-nucleotide ribosomal RNA is filed under the name uncultured bacterium. RNAcentral describes it as "partial 16S ribosomal RNA". It matches the Rfam family "Bacterial small subunit ribosomal RNA", at positions 28 to 507 of the family's 1533-position model. The record is from RNAcentral.